UACAGAGGUGGCAAGCGUUGUUCGGAAUUACUGGGCGUAAAGGGCGCGUAGGUGGCCUUUUGAGUCAGACGUGAAAUCCCCCGGCUUAACCUGGGAACUGCGUCUGAUACUGGAUGGCUUGGAUUUGGGAGAGGGAUGCGGAAUUCCAGGUGUAGCGGUGAAAUGCGUAGAUAUCUGGAGGAACACCGGUGGCGAAGGCGGCCCUCUGGACGGUGACUGACGCUGAGAUGCGAAAGCGUGGGGAGCAAACAGG
This 253-nucleotide ribosomal RNA is filed under the name uncultured bacterium. RNAcentral describes it as "partial 16S ribosomal RNA". It matches the Rfam family "Bacterial small subunit ribosomal RNA", at positions 524 to 776 of the family's 1533-position model. The record is from RNAcentral.